This is a long non-coding RNA of Sorex araneus (European shrew), 295 nucleotides long. RefSeq lists it as uncharacterized. NCBI's taxonomy places the organism in Eukaryota, Metazoa, Chordata, Mammalia, Eulipotyphla, Soricidae. The transcript is spliced from 3 exons. The record is from RefSeq and is a predicted model, not a curated record.
GAAAGGAAGCUACCGCACGAUUUCGCUCCUCGGUGGAGGAGAAAGAAAAGAAGCAGACGGGCAGAGACGAGCCAGACGGAAACAAGCCGGAGAUCCUUCAGGGCUGAGUGCUGGUUCUGGCAGGGACCGGGCUGAGUGCCUGAGGUACCAGUUUCUGAAAGAUGAAAACUCGUUGGUGCAACGUCACUCCAAGAAAACCACCUUGGGCACACAUCCUGGGGAGUCGAAUCCAGCCAACCCCUAGGGAGCAGCCCUUGGGGUUCUUACUUCCACCAGGACGUGCAGUUCCCGAACG